Molecule: long non-coding RNA, 834 nt
Filed under: Heterocephalus glaber (naked mole-rat)
Lineage: Eukaryota; Metazoa; Chordata; Mammalia; Rodentia; Bathyergidae
Description: lncRNA (ENSHGLG00100041368.1)
Source: RNAcentral
CUAUUACCCAAAGUCCUGUGGAGCUAACAGGAACACACAAUUCCGAGGGCUCAACAGUCCCAAGGCCUGGAUGGUUCUCCUAGCAGCUGGACUCCCUGGAAUGGUUGAUUUGUUGGCCCGGUCACCAGAUAUCCUGGGACGGUGAAGAUGAGAGGAUAUGGCUCUAGGGAGCUCUUCCAGUGUUUGCCUAGGGCUGAAAAAGGAAAAUUGCACCAGGCAGUGAAGUCAGCAUGGAAGACUAUUUUUAAGACUACUGCAAUUGAGGGAUUGAAUUCGGGACCUUGUGCUUUCGAGGCAGGUGCUGGAACCACUGAGCUAAAUCCCCGGCCCCCGCCAUGAUGUUUCUGCCUCACCACGGGCUCAGAAGCAAUGAAGCCAGGUGACCAUGGACUGAAACCUCUGAAACCAUGAGCCAAAAUAAAUCUUUCCCCCUUUGCAUUGUUAUUUUCAAGUGUUUUGUCACCUGACUAACACGGGGAUCACAAGUGAGGGGAUUCUUGCUUACCUUGCUCAGCAGCCUGACAAACCAAUAAGGAGGUCUGGCUCAGAAGACUCAAGUAAAAUCUGGCUGAAGAGGGAGGGAGUCCUUGUCAGCCCCUGCCUCAUUCUACAUGCAAGACGCUGGGACUGUGUCUGUUUGCUCCUGGGAUCCCUGGCCUCCUGGACUGUGAGCUUAGGCCAGUGAUAUCUCUUUAUUUUGCAUAGUGCUGACUGUAGGUGAGUCCUUAAAGGCUGCUCACUCCCUAACACUUUGGGAGACAAAAUUGCAUUGUAGUUAAGAGCACAGGCUGGGCCGGGGAUUUAGCUUAGUGGUUCCGCAGCCUGCCUCGCAAG